GAAUCAAAAUUUUAUUUUGCCGGGUCAAAUUCGAAUUCAAGAACAACUUUUUUGAAUUAAAAAAAUUAAACCAAAACAAAAGUUAUCCAGUUCAAUUCCUUUUCUAGUCUAGGAAUCACAAUUUUCACACAACCCAAUUGAAAACCAAAUCAAUGUCUGAAAGGAUGGUGCGGAGGCUUGAGAAAUUACUUGGAGAUAUGGAAUAUACAAUAUAUAGGAUGGAUUCAAAAUUGAAUGAAUUUCAUAGGGAUCAAUAUGUUGAGGUGUCUAACGUGCGGGGACGGGAUAAAUUGGAGCCUAGGAUGAAAAAUUGUGAGACAUAUGGAUAUGGUUGUGACAUGGAUGGUGAUGCGAUGUUUGGGGCUGAUUUACGGGAAAUGAAAAAUAUUGGCAAUAGGUUUGUAGAAUGGGAUAGAAAUUAUUUUGGAUAUGGUAUAGAUAAGAGUAUAAAAACGACAAUUCAAAAAUUUAAGGGUAGAAAUGAUCCCGAGGCAUACGUGACGUGGGAAGAAAAGAUUGAAUUAUUGUUUGAGAGCUAUGAUUAUUCCAGGGAGAACAAGUUGAAAUUGGUUGUGAGCUCAUUCAUUGAUUAUGCAAUAACUUGGUUGGAUGAGUUUACGAUAUCUAGGCGAAGGACCGGUGAGAGGUGUAUUGAAACUUGGGAUGAGUUGAGGCAUAUUUUGAGGAGAUGAUAUGUGCCAAAUCAUUAUAGGAGGGAUCGACGAGAAAUAGAAUUUGGGGAGAAGCCUAGGAGAUUUUAUGGGGAUGAGUAUCCAAGGGAAAAGAAAACGCCUAUUGCGAGGUGUGCGGUAGGUCAUCAAGUAAGGGUGUUCAGUUGGAUUAUAAGCGGGAAUUGAUGGAGAUUCGUGACUUGAUAAAUUCUCAAAUUAAUCACGUUGUGGAGCAAAGUUGUAAAAGAGAAAAUUGUAAGGUGGUUGAUUGUGAGAAAAACGGUGAAGAGCCAUGAAAAAGUGAAAAGAAAGCCGAGAGUGAAAAUGAAAAGAUGGAAUUGGAGUUACGGGGUGAAAAUGAAGAAGAGUCUUCUGAGAUGAAAGAAGGGAUGGAAGUGUGUUUAAAUGAAAGGGAGAGUGGAGUUGAGGAGGCAUUGGCGAUAACUAACAAUUCCCUCCCUAUUUUGAAUAAUUUUGUUUUGCAGGUUACCGAAGAUUUAAUUCUAGAAAUUAAUUCAAUUGGAAUCCGUUACAAGCCGAGCAUCGAGCAUCAAUUGGUGGAUAGAAUUCAACAACAACAUUUUGACUUGGAGAUAUCUUAUUUAUUAGAAGUUGACUUUGUGAUUCCCGAGGAGACAAAGGAAUUUCAAAUGCAUUGGUCAAAGUUCAUAUGUAGAGAGUUGAAUGACGAAGAUGAACUGAGGGGCAACAUUGGAACGUCAACAGUGACAUUGUUUCAAGUGCGUGGUCCAAGUAAAUCAAGGAGAAUGCAUGGAUAUUCAUUAGAUGGAGUUGCUAUUGGAGCAUUCCAAACUUGCAAGAUCAAGCAGUCGAGGCGAGCACACUUUGAUCCAGGUGAAGAUGAUUGGGUUCACAACCGAAGGCGGCGAGUUUGAGUUCAAAGGAGGUCCAAAUUACAUCUGAGAGGUGAUAGGCCAUUUCAUGUUCUUGCAAUGAUUGGAGAUAAAUGCUACAAUUUGGAUGAUCAAGGUUCAAAUUCGAGGUUGAAUCCUUUCGAAGAGAGAGGAAAUGAUGUGAUCCGCAUAACGCAAUUUUGGGACAUAAUUUUCAGAAAUUUCGCAAGUUUCCUAUUUUGAUUAGAAGUCUAAUCUUUUGCCAUAUUUAAGUUAUUUUGGAUUUUUUUUUUCAAUUUUAAUUAGAUUCUAAGGUUUUAGUAUAAAU
This 1853-nucleotide long non-coding RNA is filed under the name Olea europaea subsp. europaea. Lineage: Eukaryota; Viridiplantae; Streptophyta; Magnoliopsida; Lamiales; Oleaceae. The record is from RNAcentral.